This is a long non-coding RNA of Cygnus atratus (black swan), 2626 nucleotides long. RefSeq lists it as uncharacterized. The record is from RefSeq and is a predicted model, not a curated record. The transcript has 4 exons. NCBI's taxonomy places the organism in Eukaryota, Metazoa, Chordata, Aves, Anseriformes, Anatidae.
UUUUUAAGGUAGAAAAUCAGCACUUCCAUUUUGUCAUCAUAUUGAAAUGAGAAGGUUUACUUUUGUAUAAAGAAAACUGUACAAACCCAGUUAAGUUUGGCCUAUGUUCCACUUGGAAUAGGAAGGAGACUGGACAACAUCAUGUUUCCACAUUAUAAUUCCUCUGGUGCCCUGGCGUGCUCUAAGUCGCAGUGGAAAUAGUUCUACUGAGUUUCUACGCUGCAGGAGAGCCUGGACAAGCUGCCCUCCCAGCACGACUAACUCCUCUGAGAGAGCCAGCAGGGAACAGAGUGCUUCAGAGCGGAUGAGUAAUGAGAAGCUUUGACAAUGAAGAGUUUGAGGCUGGGAGAAGUAAUGACACCUCCCUGGCUUCUCUCAGAGAUUCCCUCUUCUACUUUGUACUUCUCCAUCUCUGGAACUAUACAGAUGUAUUUCUGAUUUUACACCUUUCAACUGAAAGCAACAUUGGGUGGAUCUCACUUUGUGCUAGAACUCUUGCUCCCAGCUGCCUAUUCAAGAUUCUGGUUUGUGGAACCCUUUGUAAAUGAAACUUCAACCAAAAGAAAAAGGAAGAAAGAAAUUGGAAUGAUGUCAAAAUAGCAGUUCAUUUGGAGAAAGAAAAAGGAUUUUUUUUUUUUAAUUUUUUUUUUUUUUAGACAAGACAGUCUAGCAGCCAAUUUUGAAGCAUCUGGAAAAAUCACAGAUUUUUCAAAAAUUGAAGGUAAGUAAGUAAACAGUUGUUUGCUAGCCACGUGGGCCCCAGAUCCAGACAAGAUGUCACGGAUGUUAAUAGAUUUACCACUUGAUUUAUUUCAUAAGAAUUAAUGACUAAAGAUCUUGAAAGGAACAAAUGCAUGAACAAGAACAGUACUAACUCUGCUUGAUAGUGGACUGAUUUCAAAAACUGGUCAAUUUCCUUCCAGAAAAAAAAAUAUAAAUCAUGUCUCAUCUGAACUUGCCUUGGGAUUACACAUACCAGACAAUACUCAAAAUCAAACCAGAAUAAGCGAAGUGAGAACACUUACAUACAAAAGUACUUGUACAGCAGCCAAAAAAUAAUGAAUGUUGUGUCCUUAACCGACUAUUUAUACUCUGAGGUACAGCCCUUUUCUUUCAAGCUUCUCAAAAUGUUUAUAAAACAAGGUAAAUGGGAAAAAAAUGAAACAGGACAAGUAUAUAAUCACAUUAUAUUACAGUAAUAUUCAUUUGAGAUUUAACUGUAUCUUUAAACAGGAACAAAUAUCAUUAUUCAGACUGCUUAGAAAUAGUAGGUCAUCAUUUUUGGACAAGUUUGAUUUCUUCAUUCCACAAGUAGUAUCCCUAGUGACAAUUGGACUAAUCUUGGAAAAAGUAAAAUAUUCAGGCUCUAUCUUUUUGCAUAAUGACACAGUGCCAAAAAUAACAGUUCAGAAUAAAUAAUUGGUGCAAGAGAGUAAUUAGUAAAAAUAUCACUCAAUAUAAUGCUGAUAGAAAUGGGGUGAAGAUGCUGUUUGCCUUUUUAGCAAUAUGAUAGGGUUAGCAAGAUGAAUAAUGAUUGCUGUAUUAUCUUAAUAACCUGAAUUUUGAACGUGACACAGGUGUCCUAUCCAGAAAAGAUAUUUCUUGCCAAAACAGCAGAGGCUUAGGUGAAUUGCUGGAAGAAUACAAUUUAUUUUUUUUUUAAAUCAUUAUUAUUUCCAAAGAAUCAAGGAAAACAAACAAACAAACAACAACAACAAAAAACACUGUAUCAUGGGGUGGAUUAAGAAAAAUGAUCAUCUUUCAAUUUAUAGCUAUCAAAUAACCUCUUUUGGAAAUCUUCACUAUGACAGAACAGACAUGGGUAAUUACCACUAUAAACCACCCAAAAAAGAAUCUCUGUGCCCUAGACAUCUUGUAGAGCAGUAGGAAAUCAUUUUCAUCAUGGAUAUUUGCAUAAUGCCAGCCUUAAGGGCCUUAUGAUAAAGCUAUAAACAAAACAUAAGAAAUACUUUCCUCGUUUAUUCACACAUUCCCAUUACUUACAAAUCAGCCAAAUUGUCCCAUGAUAUCUACAACCCUAUCACCCAUCCUAAUGACUCCUAUUUAUAGCCCCAUGGACAGGAAUAUUAGCUGUGCUAAUGGGAGUCAUUCCUCUUUCCCAGGUCACACAAAGUGUGAGUGUGAAGAUGCCAGUUGCAACACAGAAUUUUAAGAUGGAUGAGACAUGAAGACUACCUCUAAUUGUGGUGCUUAUCCUGUGCUUAGGUGUCUAAACAGUAUACACCAUAACCAUUUAAUUCCCGAAAAUUGGAAGAUAAAAACCAUGGAGCUCAGUGCUUAACAAUCCAGUUGCACAUACACAGGACACAUAAAAUACAUGCUUUGGACAUGCCUGACACUCCCAGGGGUUCUAAUUACCAUGUACUCUCUAAAUAAUUCCAUUAAAUGUCUGCUAGAAGAGAAAAGGUUAUCAUAUGUUUGCUGAUCAGCAUGUAGCUCUUUCCCUGUAAAUACAUAUAAAUUUUCUGCUUUAGUGGUCUUUUCUUUACCUGACCAGGUAAACCAACAUUCAUUGAAUUAGUAUACCAAACAAAACUUUAUUUUACUUGGUUGCUGUGAAGUUAGCUGUCAGUUCUCUGCUUACAGCUGCUUUCUGGGUGUCAGA